This is a microRNA precursor of Sorghum bicolor (sorghum), 109 nucleotides long. It matches the Rfam family "MIR5565 microRNA precursor family". The record is from Rfam. NCBI's taxonomy places the organism in Eukaryota, Viridiplantae, Streptophyta, Magnoliopsida, Poales, Poaceae.
GUUGUCGAAUUUCUUUUAAUCCAUGUGUAUUGGUGUGGAUUGGGGUGGAAUUUAAUUUAAAUUCCACUUUAAUCCAUUUCAACACAUAUGGAUUUAUGUAAAUUCGACU